CCAAUUAAAUUCCUAACAAUUACCAACCAAUAAUCGGAAAGAAGGAACAGUUCCUCCGUUUAUUACUUAAUUCCGUUUCGAAACAUCUGGUUCUUCGGCUAUCCGUAUUUAGUCUGUUGUCGGAUGAAAAAAAUUUAAUUCCCGAAAGAAAUUUUAGUAAAUAAAAGAGAAAAGCAUUUUAUGGAGACUAUUGAGAAAUGGCGAACAUAGCCGUUCAAAGAAUUAAACGGGAAUUUAAAGAAGUUGUUAAAAGUGAAGAGGUUGCUAAGUGUGCUAUCAGAGUAGAACUUGUAAAUGAUAAUUAUACUGAACUUAAAGGAGAAAUAGCUGGUCCUCCUGAUACUCCAUACGAAGGUGGUAAUUUUGUUUUAGAAAUCAAAGUUCCAGAAACUUAUCCUUUUAAUCCUCCUAAGGUUCGAUUUGUUACAAAGAUAUGGCAUCCAAAUAUUAGUUCUGUAACUGGAGCAAUAUGUUUAGAUAUACUGAAAGACCAAUGGGCUGCUGCCAUGACAUUAAGAACUGUACUUCUAUCAUUACAAGCAUUGUUAGCAGCAGCAGAACCAGAUGAUCCUCAAGAUGCUGUUGUAGCAAAACAAUUUAAAGAAAAUCCAGAAAUGUUCAAACUUACUGCAAAACAUUGGGCUCAAGUUUAUGCUGGAGCACCUUCAAAUACACCAGAAUUUGAUGUAAAGAUAAAGAGGUUGGUUGAUAUGGGAGUAGAUGAGGUUGUGUAGCAGCAGUUACACUGCAGAUACAAUACCACCUAACUCAAACCUCAAUAACAACUAAAUGCACAGAGCUAGAGUGGCCUUAUCAUCAUGUUCCUGGGAUCUUGAAAAGGCAACAGAAACAUUAUUCAGCUAGAUAAUAUUUACAGUUUAAUAAAUUAUCCUUAUAGGACUUAAAAUUUCACGCCAAAAAAUAAAUUUAACUGAUAAAAAAAAAGUUAUUUUCUGCAUUUAGAAUGCAUGUUGAAGUAUCUUCCAUUUAGCAUAUCAGACACCUGGCAGUAACCUUGUUGGUUACUUUAAUUUAAACUUAAAAAUUUAUUUGCAUUUUUAUAUUUCUCAACUGUAAUUUUACAACUGUUCUAAAUUAAUAUGUUAAGAUCCUAAUAAACAAUUGUGGUGAUAGAUUUUUUAAAUAAAUUAAUCUCAUCUCUAGCCCAUGGAGAAAAAUCUUUUUAUAAAUAUGCUACAUUGCCAAAAUGUUUCAGAAUGUUAAAUAAAUGCAUUAUAUUGUUAAUGGUUUUUCAAUGAUUUAAGUGUAUAUCAGCCACUUCACCAUUAGUUGUUUUAAUUAUGACAUCUUUUUUCAUAAAGAAUAUUGCUGAUACAGGACAUGCAUCACGAAAUGUCGACACUUUCAAAUAUCAUUUUGUGUUUGUGUCUCUGUAAACAAUGUAAAGAAAAUGAAAUAUAUGAAAAAUGAGAUAGAUGUAUAAUGAAUCACACAUUCUUACACAUUGUAAACAAUAUAUCAUUUAAGUUAAUGUCAAAUAAAGAAAAAUAAAUGACAGUUUUUAUA
Molecule: RNA transcript, 1527 nt
Organism: Centruroides sculpturatus (bark scorpion)
Lineage: Eukaryota; Metazoa; Arthropoda; Arachnida; Scorpiones; Buthidae
Gene: Ubc4
Gene name: ubiquitin-conjugating enzyme E2 K-like
Exons: 7
Source: RefSeq, a predicted model, not a curated record